Molecule: ribosomal RNA, 1511 nt
Filed under: uncultured bacterium
Lineage: Bacteria
Description: bacterial SSU rRNA
Rfam family: Bacterial small subunit ribosomal RNA
Source: RNAcentral
AGAGUUUGAUCCUGGCUCAGGACGAACGCUGGCGGCGCGCUUAACACAUGCAAGUCGAACGCUUCUGUGCCCUUCGGGGUGCAGGGGAGUGGCGAACGGGUGCGUAACACGUGAGCAACCUGCCCUUUUCUGGGGGAUAACCGUGGGAAACCGCGGCUAAUACCGCAUGGGCCGGAGGGCUGAUGGCUCUUUGGUGAAAGGCUUCGGCUGGGAAAGGAGGGGCUCGCGGCGUAUCAGCUAGCUGGUGAGGUAACGGCUCACCAGGGCGACGACGCGUAGCCGGUCUGAGAGGAUGAUCGGCCACAUUGGGACUGAGAUACGGCCCAGACUCCUACGGGAGGCAGCAGUGGGGAAUCUUGCGCAAUGGGCGAAAGCCUGACGCAGCGACGCCGCGUGCGGGAGGACGGCCUUCGGGUUGUAAACCGCUGUCAGGGGGGACGAUAAUGACGGUACCCCCAGAGGAAGCACCGGCUAACUCUGUGCCAGCAGCCGCGGUAAUACAGAGGGUGCAAGCGUUGUUCGGAAUUACUGGGCGUAAAGCGCGCGCAGGCGGUGUGGUAAGUCUACCUGUCCAAUGCCGGGGCUCAACCCCGUGCCUGCAGGAGAUACUGCCAUGCUGGAGACAUGCAGAGGCGAGUGGAAUUCCUGGUGUAGCGGUGGAAUGCGUAGAGAUCCGGGAGAACACCGGUGGCGAAGGCGGCUCGCUGGGCAUGGUCUGACGCUGAGGCGCGAAGGCGUGGGAGAGCAAACAGGAUUAGAUACCCUGGUAGUCCACGCGGUAAACGAUGGGCACUAGACGUGGGGCGGAUCGACCCGUUCCGUGUCGCAGCUAACGCGUGAAGUGCCCCGCCUGGGGAGUACGGCCGCAAGGCUGAAACUCAAAGGAAUUGGCGGGGGCCCGCACAAGCGGUGGAGCAUGUGGUUUAAUUCGAAGCAACGCGAAGAACCUUACCCGGGUUUGACAUGCUGGUGAAAGCCUGGUGAAAGCCGGGCCCCUCUUCGGAGCACCAGCACAGGUGCUGCAUGGCUGUCGUCAGCUCGUGUCGUGAGAUGUUGGGUUAAGUCCCGCAACGAGCGCAACCCUUGCCGGCUGUUGCUAACAGGUAAAGCUGAGGACUCUGCCGGGACUGCCGGUGACAAACCGGAGGAAGGUGGGGACGACGUCAAGUCAUCAUGGUCCUUACGUCCGGGGCUACACACGUGCUACAAUGGCCGGGACAAACCGAAGCGAGGCCGCGAGGCGGAGCGAAUCGGAAAAACCCGGUCCAAGUUCGGAUUGCAGUCUGCAACUCGACUGCAUGAAGCUGGAAUCGCUAGUAAUCGUGGGUCAGCUACACCACGGUGAAUACGUUCCCGGGCCUUGUACACACCGCCCGUCACGCCAUGGAAGUUGGGAGCGCCCGAAGUCCGUGAGCCAACCUGGCAACAGGAGGCAGCGGCCGAAGGCGAGUUCGAUGACUGGGGCGAAGUCGUAACAAGGUAGCCGUAAGGGCGAAUUCCACAGUGGAUAU